GCGGGGCUACGGGAGAGAGAGAGAGAGGCGAGCUUUAGAACCAUGCUGGCACUUGGUGCUCGAAGUCGCACCAAUCGAGGAGGAUAAACUCCUUGGAGGCAGGUUGGACCAGUUGGGGUUCGGAUCUCGGAGCAACGACGUGGUGGUGUUGGAAGAGAAACACUGGCAGAGGCGAUGGCGCCGGUGAGGGGACGGAGGCAGUAGUUCAAUGAGGGAGAGACAGUAGCCGUGGAAAGAGAGCAGGAGAGGGAGGAGAGCGCUAGGGUUUCAGAGAAGAGCGAGAGAGAAAUAGCUGAACGCAGAGAACGAGCUCAGGUCGGGGACGCGAAGGAGGCAGUCAGAGACUCAGAGUGAGAGUCUAUCGAUUAGGGUUCG
This 375-nucleotide long non-coding RNA is filed under the name Rosa chinensis. RNAcentral describes it as "sRNA RchiOBHm_Chr2g0109891". Lineage: Eukaryota; Viridiplantae; Streptophyta; Magnoliopsida; Rosales; Rosaceae. The record is from RNAcentral.